UCCUAGUGAUACCAGCGUAUAUAUGAAAA
This 29-nucleotide non-coding RNA is filed under the name Mus musculus (house mouse). Lineage: Eukaryota; Metazoa; Chordata; Mammalia; Rodentia; Muridae. The record is from RNAcentral.